AUUAUAUCCCAAAUUUUCGCGCUCUCAUCAUCACUCUUUGCGACACUUCAAUUCCUCGCAUUGUUAUGUUAUAUCUGAAUCUGUGUUUUAACAUUGACUCAGUAACCUGCAUAGGGUCUCUUCCUCUGUGUCUAGUGUUUUAGGAGUUUGAAGCAUCAUCAUGGCUUCGGUGGACCCCGAGAUCGCGAAGACGCGGGAAGAGCAGAAGCGAAUGGAGCAGCAACUGGCUUCGCUCACCUCCGUCACGUUUGACACCGAUCUCUACGGCGGAAGCGACUAGGGCUCCUAUCUCACUUCCAUCCCUGCCAACAAAGAUGACGAGAAUCUCGACGCCAUGGACAACGAGGUCGCACACAAACUGGCUUCUUACACCGCCCCCUAAGUCGCUUCUCAAGUACAUGCCCUCCGCCCCCGACUCUGACAACGACAUCGGCUUCCGCAAGCCGCAGCGCAUCAUCGAUCGCGACGACGACUAUCGCCGCCGUCGCCUCAACCAGAUCAUCUCGCCGGCGAGAAGACCCCGGACCCUUCGGUGAGGACCUACGCGGAUAUCAUGCGCGAGGAGGCUCUCAAGAGGGAGAAGGAGGAGACUCUGAAGGCCAUCGCUAUGAAGAAGAAGGAGGAGGAGGAGGCCGCCAAGGGCGCGCCGCCUCAACAGCAGCAGAAAAGGAGGAACCGCUGGGACCAAUCUCAGGAUGACGGUGGUGGCGCCAUGGCCGCGAAGAAGGCGAAAACAUCUGAUUGCCGCUAAGAUCCUUUUCCGCGACCCCCCUAAGAAGAGGAAGUUUGGGUAUCCCUUUUCCUUCCCACUAACUAGGUUUACUUAUUCACCUGUCGCUCUCUUUCGCAUUUCGUCGAGCACCUUCGCUGCACUUAAUAUGUCCACUUCACUACCUCUCUUUGGAUCUGUUUUUUACUACCACAUUUGGAGUUUCAAGCUGCAUGUAGAUACUCCAAAAAACCUGUUCUUUUUUUCUCAAAUUAAAAAAUGUCUGCAGUUGUCCUUUUGCAUUUGGGUUAAUAUCAUGGACAAACAAUUCAGAGAGGCAUAUUCAAGUUCUGCAAAGCAUUGGGAUUGACCCGGGCUCCAAGCAUGCAACUGAACAAAGUGAGGGACUGGAACAUGAGAUAAAGCAAGUGAGAGAAUCUCUCAUCUCUGCUUAUGAGAAGAAUAUAGCUACAAGGCUGAAAGUUGAGGUUUGCAGGCUGGAAGCUAACAACUACAAUAUCACAAAAGAUGCUUGUGCAACUGCCUACAUAUCCAGUAGCAAUGUUCCUUGGUGAUAGUGAUAGUGAUGGAGAAGGGAUGAGGUCUUGUACUGUAUUUCAAAGUUUCAGAGACUCUUGAUGAACACAUUUCUCCCCAGUUCUAGGAAAGCAUUAUGGAAUGAAAGAGAGGUCCAUAAAGGAAAAUUUUUCUAUCGAAUUUAUAAUUUAGUAUUAAAAAGAGUCGGUUCAUUGAGAAUUUGAGUUAAUUGAUAAAUUCGUAGAUAUAGUUCUUCAAAUAUAUUAGCGGUGUGGUGUGACCAAUAUGCUAUUAUUAGUUUUAUAGCAUCAAUGCAAAAUGUGAGGGCCAUCAAGGCGAUGCUGAGGAGUUUGGAGAUGGUUUCAGGUUUAAAAAUAAAUUUUGCAAAAAGUCAAUGCUGCCUCAUACCUUAACUGCAGUUUGUUGACCUACUUGGGUAUCCCCAUUGAGGCAAAUCCAAAAAGUAGUGUGCCUUGGGAUCUUAUUGUUAAAAAAUGUGAGCAUAGAUUGGCAAAGUGGAAACAAAAGCAACUAUCCUUUGUGGGAAGGGUGACUUUGAUAAAGUCAGUCCUGAACACAAUUCCUAUCUAUUUUCUUUCAUUUUUCAAGAUCCUGAAAAAGGUGGUACACAAGCUGGUGAAACUACAACGAUGGUUCUUGUGGGGAGGAGAUACAGAACACAAGAAGAUUGCUUGGGUAAGCAAUGGAUCAGCAUGUCUGUCGAAAGAAAAAGGUGGUCUGGGAAUUUUUGAGAUUUGACCAAGUUUAAUCAGGCUCUUCUUGGAAAAUGGAAGUGGAAUUUGUUUUAUCAUCAAGGAGAAUUAUGGGCUAGAGUGCUGGAUUCAAAAUAUGGAGGGUAAAGGAACUUGGAUGAGAACAGAAGGGUCUUAGCAGCAUUUGCAUGGUGGUCUGAUCUCAAUUAUAUCUGCCACAACUCCGAGGAGGAAAGCUGGUUCAAAUCUAGAAUAAAAUGGAGUGUGGGCUCUGGCUCCAAGGCUAGGUUUUUAGGAAGAUGGGUGGAUGGAUGAUGGGAUCCCCCUAAUGGUAAAAUAUCCUAGACCUUACCUGAUCUCAAACCAAAAAAACCAGCACAUUCAGCAGAUGGUAUGUAGUUCAGCUGCAACCUGAGUGGUGCUUGCAAUGGAGGAGGUUACUUUUUGAGGUUGAGAUACCUAUGGGGGACUGCUUUUUGGAGGAAAUUUAACAUCUCAACACAAAUGAGCAGCAACAAGAUAGGUGGGUGUGGCUAAGCGACUCAACUGGGGUAUAUACUAUAAGCAGUGCAUAUCAACUGCUUGACAGGGAAUCAAGAGAUGAGAAUAUAGAUGAGGUAUUUCAAGACGUAUGGAAACUAAAAAUACCAAGUAAAGCUGCGUUUUUUGCUUGGAGAUUAAUCUAUGAUAGACUGUCCACUAAAUCUAAUUUGUCUAGAAGGAAUGUGGGCAUCACUGACAAAUUAUGUCCAUUCUUCUCUCAAGUUUAGGAUUAAUGGUGUGAUUGGACCCACAAAAUUUUUACCAUAUAAGACAGACAUGGGCAUAUAUAUAUCAAUCGACAAUAAAACCACAUUUUAGCUUCA
Glycine soja is the source of this 2825-nucleotide RNA transcript. RefSeq lists it as uncharacterized. Lineage: Eukaryota; Viridiplantae; Streptophyta; Magnoliopsida; Fabales; Fabaceae. The record is from RefSeq and is a predicted model, not a curated record. The transcript is spliced from 4 exons.